Molecule: ribosomal RNA, 473 nt
Filed under: uncultured bacterium
Lineage: Bacteria
Description: bacterial SSU rRNA
Rfam family: Bacterial small subunit ribosomal RNA
Source: RNAcentral
ACUCCUACGGGAGGCAGCAGUGGGGAAUAUUGCACAAUGGGCGCAAGCCUGAUGCAGCCAUGCCGCGUGUGUGAAGAAGGCCUUCGGGUUGUAAAGCACUUUCAGUCGUGAGGAAGGUGGUGUAGUUAAUAGCUGCAUCAUUUGACGUUAGCGACAGAAGAAGCACCGGCUAACUCCGUGCCAGCAGCCGCGGUAAUACGGAGGGUGCGAGCGUUAAUCGGAAUUACUGGGCGUAAAGCGCAUGCAGGUGGUUUGUUAAGUCAGAUGUGAAAGCCCGGGGCUCAACCUCGGAAUAGCAUUUGAAACUGGCAGACUAGAGUACUGUAGAGGGGGUAGAAUUUCAGGUGUAGCGGUGAAAUGCGUAGAGAUCUGAAGGAAUACCGGUGGCGAAGGCGGCCCCCUGGACAGAUACUGACACUCAGAUGCGAAAGCGUGGGGAGCGAAACAGGAUUAGAUACCCUGGUAGGACAGUG